This 429-nucleotide ribosomal RNA is filed under the name Actinomycetes bacterium. RNAcentral's name for it is "Actinobacteria bacterium partial 16S ribosomal RNA". It matches the Rfam family "Bacterial small subunit ribosomal RNA", at positions 355 to 776 of the family's 1533-position model. The record is from RNAcentral. Lineage: Bacteria; Bacillati; Actinomycetota; Actinomycetes.
UAGGGAAUCUUCCGCAAUGGGCGAAAGCUUGACGGAGCAACGCCGCGUGAGUGAUGAAGGUCUUCGGAUCGUAAAACUCUGUUAUUAGGGAAGAACAAAUGUGUAAGUAACUAUGCACGUCUUGACGGUACCUAAUCAGAAAGCCACGGCUAACUACGUGCCAGCAGCCGCGGUAAUACGUAGGUGGCAAGCGUUAUCCGGAAUUAUUGGGCGUAAAGCGCGCGUAGGCGGUUUUUUAAGUCUGAUGUGAAAGCCCACGGCACAACCGUGGAGGGUCAUUGGAAACUGGAAAACUUGAGUGCAGAAGAGGAAAGUGGAAUUCCAUGUGUAGCGGUGAAAUGCGCAGAGAUAUGGAGGAACACCAGUGGCGAAGGCGACUUUCUGGUCUGUAACUGACGCUGAUGUGCGAAAGCGUGGGGAUCAAACAGG